UACGAAGGGUGCAAGCGUUACUCGGAAUUACUGGGCGUAAAGCGUGCGUAGGUGGUUUGUUAAGUCUGUUGUGAAAGCCCCGGGCUCAACCUGGGAAUGGCAAUGGAUACUGGCAGGCUAGAGUGCGGUAGAGGGUAGUGGAAUUCCCGGUGUAGCGGUGAAAUGCGUAGAGAUCGGGAGGAACACCAGAGGCGAAAGCGGCGACCUGGACAGAUACUGACACUCAACUGCGAAAGCGUGGGGAGCAACAGG
This 252-nucleotide ribosomal RNA is filed under the name uncultured bacterium. RNAcentral describes it as "partial 16S ribosomal RNA". It matches the Rfam family "Bacterial small subunit ribosomal RNA", at positions 524 to 775 of the family's 1533-position model. The record is from RNAcentral.